UACAGAGGUCUCAAGCGUUGUUCGGAUUCAUUGGGCGUAAAGGGUGCGUAGGUGGCGGGGUAAGUCCGGUGUGAAAUCUCGGGGCUCAACCCCGAAACUGCACUUGAUACUGCCUUGCUCGAGUACUGGAGAGGAGAUUGGAAUUUACGGUGUAGCAGUGAAAUGCGUAGAUAUCGUAAGGAAGACCAGUGGCGAAGGCGAAUCUCUGGACAGUUACUGACACUGAGGCACGAAGGCCAGGGGAGCAAACGGG
RNAcentral lists this ribosomal RNA (253 nucleotides) under uncultured bacterium. RNAcentral describes it as "partial 16S ribosomal RNA". It matches the Rfam family "Bacterial small subunit ribosomal RNA", at positions 524 to 776 of the family's 1533-position model. The record is from RNAcentral.